GGGGAACGUCGGCUGCCUGCCCCUGGGAGCAGCUCCAUGGGUGUUCCCGGCCCUGCCCUCAGGUGAGCUCGCUCAGGUGACCCGUCCCGUGCCAACAGGGGUGGGAGACAGGAGCUGCCCCCGGGGCUGGGCUUGAGAGGGCACGGUGGGAUUUGCUCUCCAGCCUUUCCCCUCUUUGGGGACAUGUUUUGGGGGGCUCUUCAUCUGCUUAGCUGCUAAUUUGCAGGAGGGGGGAAAAAAAUGUGUCAAAAUCUGUGACUGAAAAGGUCCGUAAUGAUUUAAGGCUGCUGGGGAAGGGUGGAGAGGAGGCGGCUGGAUGAGAGGAGCAGGCGCUGCCUUCUUCAUGCAGCAAACCAAAAAGCUAAAAACAGCUUUUCUCAAAAAAAAAAAAAAAAAAAAAAAAAAAAAUAAAAAAAAAAAAAAUUGCUGUCCAAGUGCAGCGGAGUUUUCAUCCAUGAACCGUAAACGUGGACCGCAGAGAGGGAUGACGCUGGAAAGCCGUCCAGCUUUCCUGACCUAUUUGCGUCUCAUUCCAGCACGCCGCAGGGACAGCGCAAGGCCGGGAAUCGCCCCGCGACUGCCUCCAGCGCCUCCAUCCCCCCUUCCAUGCCGCCUUAACACCGCGGCCCCGUCCCCGCGGGAGGGCGGAGCGGCGCCGAGGCCCGGCCCUGCCGGCAGCCCGGGGCGGGACGUGCGGCACCGCACGGCUCGGGCUCGGCCGCCGCCGAGCGGGCUCAGUCGCAGCGGGCGGACCGCGAAACCUGCGGCCCCGGGGCUUGCGUGAGGGCCGGGCUGAGGGCCCGGCGGUCGCCGCCUCCCCUUCGUCGAGGCUCCGCCCGCCCUCGCUGUCCCCUUCGCCCUUCUGCGGGCUGGCAGAUGCACGUAGGCGACCGUCUCCGUCCUUUGCUUUGCCCUCCGCUUCUUGAAAUGCCGGCGGGCAGCCGGGUCCUGGGAGCUGCCUCGGGUUAGCAGCGCAGAUCGGAGGCGUCGCGUGAAACACUUCCCAGGGAUCCUGAUGUGUCUCUUUCAACUUGCCGCUAGAAGGUUGAUUUCUCAAGCGCAUUGUGGACUUAAGGCCGCGUCUUCAAAGAAACAGAAGUUUUGCGUGGAAAUGGCCCGUCCUAGUUCAAACAUGGCUGAUUUCCGAGAGGUGUUUGCCAAAGCCAAGCACAUUGCCAUCAUCACCGGAGCCGGUGUCAGUGCCGAGAGCGGCGUCCCCACCUUCAGAGGGGCUGGAGGCUUCUGGAGAAAGUGGCAAGCCCAGGAGCUGGCUACUCCAGGGGCUUUUGCACGCAACCCUUCCCGUGUGUGGGAAUUCUACCAUUACCGGCGGGAAUUGAUGCUGAGCAAACAUCCCAAUCCAGCCCACAUCGCCAUUGCGGAGUGCGAGAAGCGUCUGAGCAAGCAAGGAAGGAGCGUUGUGGUCAUCACUCAGAACAUUGAUGAGCUGCACAGGAAGGCAGGCACCAAGCACCUCUUAGAAAUUCACGGUAGUUUAUUUAAAACUCGGUGCACCAGCUGUGGAAACGUUGCUGCAAAUUACAAGAGCCCAAUCUGCCCCGCAUUGGCUGGGAAGGGGGCUCCAGAUCCUGACACAGAAGAUGCUGCAAUUCCAGUUGAAGACCUUCCUCAGUGUGAGGAGGAUGGCUGCAAUGGGCUCCUGCGGCCCCACGUCGUGUGGUUUGGCGAGGCCCUGGAUCCCGGUGUGCUCACGGCGGUGGAGAAGGAGCUGGAUAUUUGUGACCUCUGCUUGGUUGUCGGGACCUCGUCCGUGGUGUAUCCUGCGGCCAUGUUCGCCCCACAGGUCUCGGCCAGAGGCGUCCCAGUUGCGGAGUUCAACAUGGAACCCACUCCUGCCACCAACAGGUUCAGGUAACACUGCUCAGGCAAACAGGCUUUAGUGCCCUCCAUCCUGCCCUCUGCGUCCAGCUGCUGAAACGCUGGGUUUGCACAAAUGCGGUCUAGCUUUACCCCCCAAACCCUUUCGAAAUAUUAAGUUUCUGUUUGUAAGAAAAGAGGAUUCUUCUUCUGUGGUUGGAUUUUCACUGAAGACACAAACCGUAUGGUGUAAAGGGUUCCACUUCCCGGGCCCCUGCGGGACCACGCUACCGCCGGCGCUGGCGCGACACGAGACGGAGAUCAUCUCCUGAGCCCCGGGAUUACCUCGGGAGCGGCCCGGC
This is an RNA transcript of Cinclus cinclus, 2180 nucleotides long. It is a transcript of the gene named sirtuin 5, with no coding region annotated. The transcript has 9 exons. Lineage: Eukaryota; Metazoa; Chordata; Aves; Passeriformes; Cinclidae. The record is from RefSeq and is a predicted model, not a curated record.